RNAcentral lists this ribosomal RNA (547 nucleotides) under Colletotrichum gloeosporioides. Its description in RNAcentral is "eukaryotic LSU rRNA". The stretch from base 175 to 328 matches the Rfam family "5.8S ribosomal RNA". Lineage: Eukaryota; Fungi; Ascomycota; Sordariomycetes; Glomerellales; Glomerellaceae. The record is from RNAcentral.
GAAAAUGGAUUUAGCUCUAUAACCCUUUGUGACAUACCUAUAACUGUUGCUUCGGCGGGUAGGGUCUCCGUGACCCUCCCGGCCUCCCGCCCCCGGGCGGGUCGGCGCCCGCCGGAGGAUAACCAAACUCUGAUUUAACGACGUUUCUUCUGAGUGGUACAAGCAAAUAAUCAAAACUUUUAACAACGGAUCUCUUGGUUCUGGCAUCGAUGAAGAACGCAGCGAAAUGCGAUAAGUAAUGUGAAUUGCAGAAUUCAGUGAAUCAUCGAAUCUUUGAACGCACAUUGCGCCCGCCAGCAUUCUGGCGGGCAUGCCUGUUCGAGCGUCAUUUCAACCCUCAAGCUCUGCUUGGUGUUGGGGCCCUACAGCUGAUGUAGGCCCUCAAAGGUAGUGGCGGACCCUCCCGGAGCCUCCUUUGCGUAGUAACUUUACGUCUCGCACUGGGAUCCGGAGGGACUCUUGCCGUAAAACCCCCAAUUUUCCAAAGGUUGACCUCGGAUCAGGUAGGAAUACCCGCUGAACUUAAGCAUAUCAAUAAGCGGAGGAA